UGAGCCAGUUAUACGACCGUACCGCAAACCGACACUGGUGCGCGAGAUGAGUAUUCUAAGGCGCUUGAGAGAACUCAGGAGAAGGAACUCGGCAAAUUGACACCGUAACUUCGGAAGAAGGUGUGCCCUAUUAGUGUGUAGUGAACAACGAAGCAUGAAUGGGUUGCAAAAAAUCGGUGGCUGCGACUGUUUAUUAAAAACACAGCACUCUGCAAACACGAAAGUGGACGUAUAGGGUGUGACGCCUGCCCGGUGCUGGAAGAUUAAAUGAUGGGGUGCAAGCUCUUGAUUGAAGUCCCAGUAAACGGCGGCCGUAACAAUAACGGUCCUAAGGUAGCGAAAUUCCUCGUCGGGUAAGUUCCGACCUGCACGAAUGGCGUAACGAUGGCCACACUGUCUCCUCCUGAGACUCAGCGAAGUAGAAAUGUUUGUGAUGAUGCAAUCUCCCCGCGGAAAGACGGAAAGACCCCAUGAACCUUUACUGUAGCUUUGUAUUGGACUUUGAACAGAUCUGUGUAGGAUAGGUGGGAGGCUUUGAAGCAGGGUCGCUAGAUCUUGUGGAGCCAACGUUGAAAUACCACCCUGGUGUGUUUGAGGUUCUAACCUAGGUCCAUUAUCUGGAUCGGGGACAGUGCAUGGUAGGCAGUUUGACUGGGGCGGUCUCCUCCCAAAGCGUAACGGAGGAGUUCGAAGGUACGCUAGUUACGGUCGGACAUCGUGACGAUAGUGCAAUGGCAUAAGCGUGCUUAACUGCGAGACUGACAAGUCGAGCAGAUGCGAAAGCAGGACAUAGUGAUCCGGUGGUUCUGUAUGGAAGGGCCAUCGCUCAACGGAUAAAAGGUACUCUGGGGAUAACAGGCUGAUACCGCCCAAGAGUUCAUAUCGACGGCGGUGUUUGGCACCUCGAUGUCGGCUCAUCUCAUCCUGGGGCUGUAGCCGGUCCCAAGGGUAUGGCUGUUCGCCAUUUAAAGAGGUACGUGAGCUGGGUUUAAAACGUCGUGAGACAGUUUGGUCCCUAUCUUCCGUGGGCGCUGCAGAUUUGAGGAAGCCUGCUCCUAGUACGAGAGGACCGGAGUGGACACACCUCUGGUGUAUCGGUUGUCACGCCAGUGGCAUUGCCGAGUAGCUAAGUGUGGAAGAGAUAACCGCUGAAAGCAUCUAAGCGGGAAACUCGUUUCAAGAUGAGAUCUGCCGGGGCCUUGAGCCCCCUAAAGAGUCGUUCAAGACCAGGACGUUGACAGGUCAGGUGUGGAAGCGUAG
RNAcentral lists this ribosomal RNA (1260 nucleotides) under metagenome. RNAcentral describes it as "bacterial LSU rRNA". It matches the Rfam family "Bacterial large subunit ribosomal RNA", at positions 1626 to 2878 of the family's 2925-position model. The record is from RNAcentral.